RNAcentral lists this long non-coding RNA (764 nucleotides) under Mustela putorius furo (domestic ferret). RNAcentral's name for it is "lncRNA (ENSMPUG00000032074.1)". The record is from RNAcentral. Lineage: Eukaryota; Metazoa; Chordata; Mammalia; Carnivora; Mustelidae.
GCAGUUUGAAUGGACCGACGGCUCCUCCUAUGACUACAGCUACUGGGACGGGAGCCAGCCGGAUGGUGGCCUGCACACGGACCCAGAAGAGGAGGAUUGCGUGCAGAUAUGGUACCGGCCCACCAGCGAUGAGGAAACUGAGGCACGGAGCUCCAGCGACUUGCUCAAGGUCACAAACCUGGUAGGUGAUAGAGCCAGAGUUUUAACACCCGACUCAAGAGGACCCCACAUCAUUUGCCUAUCCCGGUGCCCACACGUCUGGGUCCAUUUGACCCAGAAGAUAAAACAGUAAGUCAGUUAACAUCUUUUGUUCUCUGGAAUUGGUUUCCGAAUUGGUCCCCCAGUGGGUGGUAAUGCUGGGCUUCAAACCAGGUCUGCCUAUCUUCCUGCUUCCCUUACAGGGCUCAGGGUGCUACUUCCCAAUUGCUAAUUCCACCACCAAGGGCAGCACAAAGUAACGAAAAAAGCCAGAGCAGAGGAGCCAAGUUCAAAGACUGGUUUUGCCACUGCCUGUGAUCUUGGGCACUUCUCUCUCUCUCUCUCUCUUUCUCUCUCUCUCUCCCACACACACAAGUACAUAUAAAGACACACAGAGGAGCCUGGGUGGCUCAGUCAGUUAAACGUCUGCCUUUGGCUCAGUCAUGAUGCCAGGGUCCUGGGAUCAAGCCCCGUGUCCAGCUCCCUGCUUACCCAGGCGUGGGUGGGGGGGCUGCUUCUCCUUUUCCCUAUGCUCCUCCCCCUGCUCGUGUGCAGGCACUCUUUCC